RNAcentral lists this transfer RNA (71 nucleotides) under Callogobius okinawae. RNAcentral describes it as "tRNA-Ser". It matches the Rfam family "tRNA". Rfam says of the family: Transfer RNA (tRNA) molecules are approximately 80 nucleotides in length. Their secondary structure includes four short double-helical elements and three loops (D, anti-codon, and T loops). Further hydrogen bonds mediate the characteristic L-shaped molecular structure. tRNAs have two regions of fundamental functional importance: the anti-codon, which is responsible for specific mRNA codon recognition, and the 3' end, to which the tRNAs corresponding amino acid is attached (by aminoacyl-tRNA synthetases). tRNAs cope with the degeneracy of the genetic code in two manners: having more than one tRNA (with a specific anti-codon) for a particular amino acid; and 'wobble' base-pairing, i.e. permitting non-standard base-pairing at the 3rd anti-codon position. Lineage: Eukaryota; Metazoa; Chordata; Actinopteri; Gobiiformes; Gobiidae. The record is from RNAcentral.
AAGAAAGUGACAGAGUGGUUAUGUGGUCGGCUUGAAACCGAUAAAAGGGGGUUCGAUUCCUUCCUUUCUCG